CAAUAGCGUAUAUUAAAGUUGUUGCAGUUAAAAAGCUCGUAGUUGGAUUUCUGGAUGGAGCGACCGGUCGGGCAUUAAUUUGUCUGCACUGGAGUCGGUUCCGUCCAUCCUCUUGGAAAGUGCGUCGGGCAUUAAGUUGCUUGGCGUAUGAUCCAAGUCGUUUACUGUGAAAAAAUUAGAGUGUUUAAAGCAGGCCUUCGCCUUGAAUACAUUAGCAUGGAAUAAUAAGAUAGGACUUUGGUCUAUUUUGUUGGUUUGCGGACCGAAGUAAUGAUUAAUAGGGAUAGUUGGGGGUAUUUAUAUUCCGAUGUCAGAGGUGAAAUUCUUAGAUUUUCGGAAGAUAAACUUAUGCGAAAGCAUUUACCAAGGAUGUUUNCAUUAA
Molecule: ribosomal RNA, 382 nt
Filed under: uncultured eukaryote
Lineage: Eukaryota
Description: partial 18S ribosomal RNA
Rfam family: Eukaryotic small subunit ribosomal RNA
Source: RNAcentral